RNAcentral lists this ribosomal RNA (58 nucleotides) under Endomeliola dingleyae. Its description in RNAcentral is "partial 18S ribosomal RNA". Lineage: Eukaryota; Fungi; Ascomycota; Sordariomycetes; Meliolales; Meliolaceae. The record is from RNAcentral.
CUUGGUCAUUUAGAGGAAGUAAAAGUUGUAACAAGGUCUCCGUUGGUGAACCAGCGGA